CAGCCGCCGCGGUAAUACGUAGGGUGCGAGCGUUAAUCGGAAUUACUGGGCGUAAAGCGUGCGCAGGCGGUUAUGUAAGACAGUUGUGAAAUCCCCGGGCUCAACCUGGGAACUGCAUCUGUGACUGCAUAGCUAGAGUACGGUAGAGGGGGAUGGAAUUCCGCGUGUAGCAGUGAAAUGCGUAGAUAUGCGGAGGAACACCGAUGGCGAAGGCAAUCCCCUGGACCUGUACUGACGCUCAUGCACGAAAGCGUGGGGAGCAAACAGGAUUAGAGACCCGCGUAGUCCCUGUCUCUUAUAC
Molecule: ribosomal RNA, 301 nt
Filed under: uncultured bacterium
Lineage: Bacteria
Description: partial 16S ribosomal RNA
Rfam family: Bacterial small subunit ribosomal RNA
Source: RNAcentral